GAUGAACGCUGGCGGCGUGCCUAACACAUGCAAGUCGAGCGCGAUUAAGUGGAGUGAGAACUUCGGUUCAAGUGAAAUUUAUGAAAGCGGCGGACGGGUGAGUAACGCGUGGGUAACCUGCCCCAUACAAAGGGAUAGCCACUGGAAACGGUGAUUAAUACCUUACAAGUCGGUAGUCUCGCAUGAGACAGCCGACAAAGAUUUAUCGGUAUGGGAUGGACCCGCGUCUGAUUAGCUAGUUGGUGAGGUAACGGCUCACCAAGGCGACGAUCAGUAGCCGACCUGAGAGGGUGAUCGGCCACACUGGAACUGAGACACGGUCCAGACUCCUACGGGAGGCAGCAGUGGGGAAUAUUGCACAAUGGGCGCAAGCCUGAUGCAGCAACGCCGCGUGAGUGAUGAAGGCUUUCGGGUCGUAAACUCUGUCCUAUGGGAAGAAAAAAUAGACGGUACCAUAGGAGGAAGCCCGGCUAACUACGUGCCAGCAGCCGCGGU
RNAcentral lists this ribosomal RNA (495 nucleotides) under uncultured bacterium. RNAcentral's name for it is "bacterial SSU rRNA". It matches the Rfam family "Bacterial small subunit ribosomal RNA", at positions 28 to 521 of the family's 1533-position model. The record is from RNAcentral.